RNAcentral lists this ribosomal RNA (403 nucleotides) under uncultured bacterium. RNAcentral's name for it is "bacterial SSU rRNA". It matches the Rfam family "Bacterial small subunit ribosomal RNA", at positions 355 to 774 of the family's 1533-position model. RNAcentral also lists the same sequence under 1 other name. The record is from RNAcentral.
UGGGGAAUAUUGCACAAUGGGGGAAACCCUGAUGCAGCAACGCCGCGUGAAGGAAGACGGUUUUCGGAUUGUAAACUUCUGUUCUUAGUGAAGAAUAAUGACGGUAGCUAAGGAGCAAGCCACGGCUAACUACGUGCCAGCAGCCGCGGUAAUACGUAGGUGGCAAGCGUUGUCCGGAAUUACUGGGUGUAAAGGGAGCGUAGGCGGGAUGCCAAGUCAGCUGUGAAAACUAUGGGCUUAACCUGUAGACUGCAGUUGAAACUGGUAUUCUUGAGUGAAGUAGAGGUUGGCGGAAUUCCGAGUGUAGCGGUGAAAUGCGUAGAUAUUCGGAGGAACACCGGUGGCGAAGGCGGCCAACUGGGCUUUAACUGACGCUGAGGCUCGAAAGUGUGGGGAGCAAACA